GUCCAUGGCCAUACCACCUUGAAUGCAUCUAAUCUCAUCUGAUCUCAGAAGCUAAGCAGGGUUAGCCUUGUUAGUACUUGGAAGGGAGACAGAUAUUCAGAAGAGACUGCUCAGAGACAAGCAGUUUGGAGA
This 132-nucleotide ribosomal RNA is filed under the name Castor canadensis (American beaver). The record is from RNAcentral. Lineage: Eukaryota; Metazoa; Chordata; Mammalia; Rodentia; Castoridae.